CUAAACUUAACCCUGGAGAUCAUCUACCUGCUGACCGGAGAGAGAUUUCCUCUUGUGAAGUCUGGAGAUCAUAUGAGCAUCACAGUGCCCCUACGUCAUUCCUUGUUACUCAAGAAAAACAGCAAACAGAAGAUUCUAGAAGUCACCGAGAAGAUGAUGGAGCUGCUGACAGGAGAGGUUCCUAUAAGGUGUCAGGAUGUCACUGUCUA
This is a long non-coding RNA of Rana temporaria (common frog), 209 nucleotides long. RefSeq lists it as uncharacterized. Lineage: Eukaryota; Metazoa; Chordata; Amphibia; Anura; Ranidae. The record is from RefSeq and is a predicted model, not a curated record. The transcript is spliced from 3 exons.